This 73-nucleotide transfer RNA is filed under the name Bacteriophage sp. Its description in RNAcentral is "tRNA-Thr". It matches the Rfam family "tRNA". Rfam says of the family: Transfer RNA (tRNA) molecules are approximately 80 nucleotides in length. The record is from RNAcentral. RNAcentral also lists the same sequence under 2 other names.
GCUGUCGUAGCUCAAUUGGUAGAGCAAUCGCCUUGUAAGCGAUAGGUUAUCAGUUCGAUUCUGAUCGGUAGCU